Molecule: ribosomal RNA, 403 nt
Filed under: Verrucomicrobiota bacterium
Lineage: Bacteria; Pseudomonadati; Verrucomicrobiota
Description: Verrucomicrobia bacterium partial 16S ribosomal RNA
Rfam family: Bacterial small subunit ribosomal RNA
Source: RNAcentral
UGGGGAAUAUUGCACAAUGGGGGAAACCCUGAUGCAGCGACGCCGCGUGAGCGAAGAAGGUUUUCGAAUCGUAAAGCUCUGUCCUAUGAGAAGAUAAUGACGGUAUCAUAGGAGGAAGCCCCGGCUAAAUACGUGCCAGCAGCCGCGGUAAUACGUAUGGGGCGAGCGUUGUCCGGAAUUAUUGGGCGUAAAGGGUACGUAGGCGGUCUAUUAAGUCAGGUGUGAAAGCGUGAGGCUUAACCUCAUUAAGCACUUGAAACUGAUAGACUUGAGUGAAGGAGAGGAAAGUGGAAUUCCUAGUGUAGCGGUGAAAUGCGUAGAUAUUAGGAGGAAUACCGGUGGCGAAGGCGACUUUCUGGACUUUUACUGAUGCUCAGGUACGAAAGCGUGGGGAGCAAACAGG